CCUACGGGAGGCUGCAGUGGGGAAUAUUGGUCAAUGGGCUUACGCCUGAACCAGCCAAGCCGCGUGAGGGAAGACUGCCCUCUGGGUUGUAAACCUCUUCUGUCAGGGAGCAACGCCGGCUACGUGUAGCCGGACUGAGAGUACCUGACGAAAAAGCAUCGGCUAACUCCGUGCCAGCAGCCGCGGUAAUACGGAGGAUGAGACCGUUAGCCGGAUUUAUUGGGUGAACGGGGGGCGUAGGCGGCAUGCCAGGUCAGCGGGAAAAUCGCGGGGCUCAACCUCGCUCUGCCGUUGAAACUGGCGUUCUAGAGUGCAGGAGAGGUAAGUGGAAUGCGUGGUGUAGCGGUGAAAUGCAUAGAGAUCAGGCAGAACACCGGUGGCGAAGGCAGCCUACUGGCGCCUAACUGACGCUGAGGUACGAAAGCGUGGGUAGCAAACAGGAUUAGAUACCCGAGUAGUC
This 460-nucleotide ribosomal RNA is filed under the name uncultured bacterium. RNAcentral describes it as "partial 16S ribosomal RNA". It matches the Rfam family "Bacterial small subunit ribosomal RNA", at positions 338 to 795 of the family's 1533-position model. The record is from RNAcentral.